Molecule: ribosomal RNA, 119 nt
Filed under: Oryza sativa Japonica Group (Japanese rice)
Lineage: Eukaryota; Viridiplantae; Streptophyta; Magnoliopsida; Poales; Poaceae
Source: RNAcentral
GGAUGCGAUCACACUAGCACUAAAGCAGCGGAUCCCAUUAGAACUCCGAAGUUAAGCGUGCUUGCACGAUAGUAGUACUAGGAUGGGUGACCUACUGGCAAGUCCUCGUGUUGCUUUCU